This 493-nucleotide ribosomal RNA is filed under the name uncultured bacterium. Its description in RNAcentral is "bacterial SSU rRNA". It matches the Rfam family "Bacterial small subunit ribosomal RNA", at positions 17 to 507 of the family's 1533-position model. The record is from RNAcentral.
UCAUGGCGUCAGGAUGAACGCUAGCGGGAGGCCUAACACAUGCAAGCCGAGCGGUAGAGAUUCUUCGGAAUCUUGAGAGCGGCGUACGGGUGCGGAACACGUGUGCAACUUACCUUUAUCUGGAAGGAUAAGCCUUUUCGAAAGGAAGAUUAAUACUCCAUAAUAUAUUGAUUGGCAUCAAUUGAUAUUGAAAGCUCCGGCGGAUAGAGAUGGGCACGCGCAAGAUUAGUUAGUUGGUGAGGUAACGGCUCACCAAGACGAUGAUCUUUAGGGGCCUGAGAGGGUGAUCCCCCACACUGGUACUGAGACACGGACCAGACUCCUACGGGAGGCAGCAGUGAGGAAUAUUGGUCAAUGGGUGCAAGCCUGAACCAGCCAUCCCGCGUGAAGGACGACUGCCCUAUGGGUUGUAAACUUCUUUUGUAUAGGGAUAAACCUACCCUCGUGAGGGUAGCUGAAGGUACUAUACGAAUAAGCACCGGCUAACUCCGUG